Long non-coding RNA from Macrobrachium nipponense, 1206 nucleotides. RefSeq lists it as uncharacterized. The transcript has 3 exons. Lineage: Eukaryota; Metazoa; Arthropoda; Malacostraca; Decapoda; Palaemonidae. The record is from RefSeq and is a predicted model, not a curated record.
AAUGUUCGCUACGCUCAUGGUGGACUCGCACCGUUUUACAACGCUCCUGAUUGGCUGUUGAUAAGCCAAUCGCAGGGCUGGAAAUUCUCAGUCUCUCUCGAGAGUUCACAUGGGUAGAAUCCAUGUUCCACCUCUCCUGAGGGUAUCCCUCAGGAAAGGUGGAAUAUGCAUCCUGUCUAUGUGAACUAUCUCGAGAGACUGAGAGUUUCCAGACCUGUGAUUGGUUUAUCAACAGCCAAUCAGGAGCGUCGUAAGGGACUGGCCUAGACAUCAAAUGCACGGUUGAUGUGAAUCUACUAUAGUCGUGCCCUUUCUUGCUUCAAAGUCUCUGUGGUUAUUCAGCAACGAGACCAACGGCUUUACGUGGCUUCCUAACCACGUCGAGAGUUAACUUCUAUCACCAGAAAUACACAUCUCUCACUCCUCAAUGGAAUGGCCGAGAAUCGAACCCGCGACCACCGAGGUAGGAUGCUAAUACCAUACCAACCACGCCGCUGAGGCGCUUCCACUCACAUUUAAAAAGUCUAGUCGCUUCAGAGGAAACUGAGCCAACGACAGAUUAAGCCCGCCUUUGAUGCCCAACAUAGUCUAUAAAUACACUUGUCCCAGAUGUAAUCGGGGUACUUAUGUUGGAUGCACGAAGAAGCUGCUACAAGUUCGUUUCUGCGCCCACAAAGGAUUCAGUUUCCGAACAGGAUGCUAACUAUCUAAUCCAGAGCUAUCCAGCGUCCGUAACCACUCUAUUACCUGUCGCUCCCGCUUGGACAUCGGUGAUUUUAAAAUUAUUGGAUCAGCCAAUAAAGACGAUGAGUUUUUAACAACGGAAUCCAUUUUAAUCAAAACCAAUGUACCGAAUUUAAAUGCCCAGUCCUCGUCAGUUCAGUUGUUCAUAGCCUAACCACUUGUUUGUUUACUUCAGCUCUUCUCUCGUCUUUUGUAUAGUUUUGUGUGUGUGUGUGUGUGUGUGUAUUUGUGUGUGGGUGUGUUUUUUCUUUUUCUUUUUCCCCGCUUUGUCCUUCAGUCACCUAUUUUUUACUCUGGUAGGUUGUCUCUCCAACCUAGUGUUGUUGUAAAGUAAUUUUUACAUUUUAAAUGUUUUAGUGUCCAAUUUUAAAUAUUAUACCGUGUUUUAUCAGUGACGAGUCUUAUAUGUUUGUAUUUUUAUCAAUUCCCCAGCCUUGAAAAUGCAUCGAAGCGAUGUGAAAC